This 76-nucleotide transfer RNA is filed under the name Desulfurobacterium thermolithotrophum. Its description in RNAcentral is "tRNA-Trp". It matches the Rfam family "tRNA". Rfam says of the family: Transfer RNA (tRNA) molecules are approximately 80 nucleotides in length. Their secondary structure includes four short double-helical elements and three loops (D, anti-codon, and T loops). RNAcentral also lists the same sequence under 4 other names. The record is from RNAcentral. Lineage: Bacteria; Pseudomonadati; Aquificota; Aquificia; Desulfurobacteriales; Desulfurobacteriaceae.
AGGCCAGUAGCCCAAUUGGCAGGGCUCCGGACUCCAAAUCCGGCGGUUGGGGGUUCGAGUCCCUCCUGGCCUGCCA